GAUGCAGCCAUGCCGCGUGUGUGAAGAAGGCCUUCGGGUUGUAAAGCACUUUCAGUUGUGAGGAAAAGUUAGUAGUUAAUACCUGCUAGCCGUGACGUUAACAACAGAAGAAGCACCGGCUAACUCCGUGCCAGCAGCCGCGGUAAUACGGAGGGUGCGAGCGUUAAUCGGAAUUACUGGGCGUAAAGCGCACGCAGGCGGUUUGUUAAGCUAGAUGUGAAAGCCCCGGGCUCAACCUGGGAUGGUCAUUUAGAACUGGCAGACUAGAGUCUUGGAGAGGGGAGUGGAAUUCCAGGUGUAGCGGUGAAAUGCGUAGAUAUCUGGAGGAACAUCAGUGGCGAAGGCGACUCCCUGGCCAAAGACUGACGCUCAUGUGCGAAAGUGUGGGUAGCGAACAGGAUUAGAUACCCUGGUAGUCCACACCGUAAACGCUGUCUACUAGCUGUUUGUGACUUUAAGUCGUGAGUAGCGAAGCUAACGCGCUAAGUAGACCGCCUGGGGAGUACGGCCGCAAGGUUAAAACUCAAAUG
Molecule: ribosomal RNA, 530 nt
Filed under: Alteromonas sp.
Lineage: Bacteria; Pseudomonadati; Pseudomonadota; Gammaproteobacteria; Alteromonadales; Alteromonadaceae
Description: bacterial SSU rRNA
Rfam family: Bacterial small subunit ribosomal RNA
Source: RNAcentral